GAUUUGCUCGCUCAGUCGGCGCAGCGCCGGGGAGGUGCUGGUUUCGGCGCCGGGUGUCUCUGUGUUUAUUUUUUUUUUUUAACACGUUUUUCUUCGGCGCGCGGGUACACGGGAGGGGCGCGUCCCAGCUGGGCUCAGCGGCUCUCAGAGCUCUUUUUUAACCGCUCUCCUCCGCCCCGUGCGCGUCUACUGAGGGAUUUCUUUGCGUCCCGCGCCCGGGGGGCCGUCCCCUUCCCUACUCGCUCUCGGCCGGGGGCUCGCGGCGCUUCCCUCUGGAUGCGUCCCCGCAGCCCCAGGCGGGAGGCGGCCGGGGGGAAGCGCUGCCUCCGAGGAUUUACUGCCGCCCGGGACCCAGCUCCGCGCCGUCUCCUUCCCCGCGGGCGCUCCGUUGCCGCUCGGGACCGCUACGGCCGCUAUGGACGAGAGAUACCUGCCCGAGCUGAUGGCGGAGAAGGACUCGCUGGACCCGUCCUUCACGCACACCCUGCGGCUGGUCAACCAAGAAAUUGAAAAAUACCAGAAAGGAGAAGGAAAGGAGGAAGAAAAAUAUAUUGAUGUGGUCAUCAAUAAAAAUAUGAAGUUGGGACAGAAAGUUUUGAUUCCAGUAAAGCAAUUCCCUAAGUUUAACUUUGUGGGAAAGCUUUUGGGCCCACGUGGUAAUUCUCUAAAGCGGUUGCAGGAAGAAACACUGACAAAAAUGUCUAUUUUGGGAAAAGGUUCUAUGAGGGAUAAGACAAAGGAGGAAGAACUGAGAAAAAGUGGAGAGGCAAAAUACUUCCACCUAAAUGAUGACCUGCAUGUUUUAAUUGAAGUUUUUGCUCCACCAGCAGAAGCAUAUGCCAGAAUGGGACAUGCAUUAGAAGAAAUCAAGAAGUUUCUCAUCCCUGACUACAAUGAUGAAAUCAGACAGGCGCAGCUUCAAGAGUUAACGUAUUUGAAUGGUGGUUCAGAGAAUGCAGAGGUUCCAGUAGUUCGUGGAAAGCCAUCUAUUCGAGCAAGGGGAGUACCAGUUCCUGCUUUGACCAGCAGGCUGUGUCUGGGAACAUCACUGCUCACCCCUGCCCCCACUUCAAUGAAGUCAAAUAAGCAGCUGGUACCCUGUCCUGAGGAGGCAUUCUACAGAUUAGCCAAAAACAAGGGCCGUGGAGGAGUGCCUCCACCACCUGCAGGAGUACCGAGAGGGGCACCAGCGCCCAGAGGAGUGCCUCCCAGUAGAGGACCAGUCAGUCGUAGCCGUGGACUUCUAGCACCCAGAGCAAGAGGAGUACCUCCACCUGCAGGCUACCGGCCUCUUCCACCGCCUCCAGCGCAGGAGACGUAUGGUGAAUAUGAGUACGAUGAUGGCUAUGGAACUGCUUAUGAUGAGCAAAGCUAUGAUUCCUAUGAUAACAGCUAUAGUACUCAAGCACAAAGUGGAGCAGAUUACUAUGACUACGGCCAUGGACUGAGUGAAGAAACAUAUGAAUCAUAUGGGCAAGAAGAAUGGACCAACUCAAGACACAAGGCACCUUCUGCAAGGACGACGAAAGGAGUCUACAGAGACCAGCCAUAUGCGAGAUACUGAUUGUACUGUCUGAUGUUGUGAAAUAUCCAAUCUCCACCAGUCCUGUAUACUGUUCAAAGAAACUCAACUCCUUGGACAGUGAAGACAAAAACAAAAACCAUAAUCUUCUGAUGCUUUGGAACUUCUGCCAUGUUAAUUACAGACUGCUUAGAACAUUGUACUUGUCCAUGUGCCUAGGCAACAAUGAGACAGGCUUCGGAAUAUGAAAACCCUGUUUCUGUAUUUCUUGUAUUAAAGCCUUAAAGUGUAUAAUGUUAUAUACUUUUUAAAAUAAUUGUAUAUAUGAACCCUUAUUUGUUUAGUGACUCAAAAUGUUUUACUUGGAGCUCAAUAAAGAGUUUUCAUUUAAGUUCCUGUUACAAAGCAAUAAUGCAACUUCACAUUCCUUUAGCAACUCUUUUUAGCCUUACACGGCAACUAUAAGCGUGUGUGAAUUCUCAUGACUAGAGUUUAAAUAUGCUUUUGGAAAUAGAUUGUCUGAUACAUGAACAACAUGGAUAAAUUAAACUGAAGAUCAGUGUUUCUUCUGGAAAUUUAUGUAUUAGCUAAUCAUAAACACCAAACAAAACUCAUGGGUAGUAGUGAUAAUCCAGUUUCCUUCAGAAACUUGUAUAACAUGGUGUUUUAAUUCCUGUCAGUUGUAUUAUGCUGCUUAUUCUCUUUCACUUGGUGUUUGCUUAGAACUGUUUUCUCUGAUAUGCAAUCACAGGUUUUCUAGUAGUAGUCCUGGAUGAGGCUUUUACACCUAGAUUAAUCUUUUAUCUUACAGUUCUGUUUACUCAGUGCUUUCUGUUUUAUAUUAAUUGUGGUUGUGAUAAUUUGUAACAGAAAUAAAAUUCUGAUAAUUCAA
RNA transcript from Numida meleagris (helmeted guineafowl), 2414 nucleotides. It is a transcript of the gene named KH RNA binding domain containing, signal transduction associated 3, with no coding region annotated. The record is from RefSeq and is a predicted model, not a curated record. Lineage: Eukaryota; Metazoa; Chordata; Aves; Galliformes; Numididae. The transcript is spliced from 12 exons.